Molecule: long non-coding RNA, 1567 nt
Filed under: Sus scrofa (pig)
Lineage: Eukaryota; Metazoa; Chordata; Mammalia; Artiodactyla; Suidae
Description: lncRNA (ENSSSCG00030065364.1)
Source: RNAcentral
CAGCCACAGCAACGCGGGAUUCCAGCCACGUCUGCAACCUACACCACAGCUCACGGCAAUGCCAGAUCCUUAACCCACUGAGCAAGGCCAGGGAUUGAACCCGCAACCUCAUGGUUCCUAGUCGGAUUCAUUAACCACUGAGACGUGGGUUCGAUCCCUGGUCUCGCUCAGUGAGUUAGGGAUCCAGUGUUGCCAUGAGCUGUGGUGUAGAUCGCAGAUGUGGCUCAGAUCCUACAUUGCUGUGGCUGUGGUGUAGGCCAGCAGCUGCAGCUCUGAUUCCAUCCCUAGCCUGGGAACUUCCAUAUGCUUCGGGUACAGCCCUAAAACAAACAAACAAACAAACAAAAUCCCUGCCACAUUUUUUGCCAGCUGAUGAAUCUUUAGCAGGUCACUCUCUGAGUGGCUCCCUUCAUCUGAUAAAAGUGGAUAAGACCAGUUUACCGAUGACGAUGAUUAAAUGAAAUGUCCUCUGUGUACAAAGUAAGCAAGCAACAAAGGGGGGCUGGGUGCUCGUAACUGUCCUUCUGACCUGUUCUCCUUUCCCAUUAUCUGAGCUGACUGCAGAGGUUCUGGUUUUCCCUGCAGGAACAUCUUUGUUCUAGUCGGGAAUCUUGCUUUCAGACCACAGUACCUGCUUCCUCUUUGGCUGUUUUUUUCUCCCUCAUUUAGCGAAUGUUUUGGGUCCCAUAUCUUGCUCCUUGAUUGUGUUCCUGUGAUUCUAGUUCUGGGUAGUGAGUGUUCUCAGUUGGCUCAGGUUAGAGCCCUAACCCCAUCCGGCCCCUCAGGAACUUGCCGUGUAGCCUUGGCAAAAUCAUUUCAAGUCCUGUACCAUACCUGUGCUUCUUAGACUGAAACGUGAGGAUCCAAUUGAAGGAGGAGAUGGCUUUUGGCUCACAAAUGUCAUACAAGAGUGAAAAAUGUAAAGCAAUGAGCAGUGAACCCUGGAAAAACCAUGACAUUUUUUUUUUUUCCUCCUGAAAAGAAUUUUCAUUGUCGAAAGAGUAAGGCAGAAAUACACAGAGCACUUAGAGGCAGAAUUAUCUCUAAGAAUACUUUUAAUUUUGGAUAUCAGUGACUCUCUUAUUGAUUUUGUGUCUUUAAAUGAAUCUGUUCGCUUUGGAAUCUAGGGAAACCUAGCUGCCUGGGGAAUUAAUCGUACAUAUAAAAGUUUGAAUUUGUAUACCUUUAUUAUCUUAAUAUGGCUGGUUUUAGGUAACUAAAUAAUACAUGCUUACUUAUAUAAAAACUAGAAAAUACAAAAACCUUUGUAUAAAAUAAUCCAGAAAUAAUCUUGACAUUUUGGUGUAUGUCUUUAUCAUUUAUUUUUCUUUAUAAAAUUUGGAUCAUAUUUCAUCCACAGUUUUUAUAACCUACUCUUUGCACUUACCAGGAUCUCUGGAGUGCUUUUCUACAUUUAAAAAUACUCCUCUAAAACAUUUUUAAUGGCUGCUUAUCAUUUUGUUGAAUGACUGUAUUAUGAUUUAUUCAUGUAACCCCUGUUGUUGGACAUUUGUGAAACCUAUUACAAAUAAUGCUUCAAUGUAAAUAUUUGAAUCUUCCUUUUGGA